AGUGAACGCUGGCGGUAGGCCUAACACAUGCAAGUCGAACGGCAGCACAGUAAGAGCUUGCUCUUACGGGUGGCGAGUGGCGGACGGGUGAGGAAUACAUCGGAAUCUACUUUUUCGUGGGGGAUAACGUAGGGAAACUUACGCUAAUACCGCAUACGACCUACGGGUGAAAGCAGGGGAUCUUCGGACCUUGCGCGAUUGAAUGAGCCGAUGUCGGAUUAGCUAGUUGGCGGGGUAAAGGCCCACCAAGGCGACGAUCCGUAGCUGGUCUGAGAGGAUGAUCAGCCACACUGGAACUGAGACACGGUCCAGACUCCUACGGGAGGCAGCAGUGGGGAAUAUUGGACAAUGGGCGCAAGCCUGAACCAGCCAUGCCGCGUGGGUGAAGAAGGCCUUCGGGUGGUAAAGCCCUUUUGUGGGGAAAGAAAAGCAGCAGGUUAAUACCCCGCUGUUCUGACGGUACCCAAAGAAUAAGCACCGGCUAACUUCGU
Molecule: ribosomal RNA, 491 nt
Filed under: uncultured bacterium
Lineage: Bacteria
Description: partial 16S ribosomal RNA
Rfam family: Bacterial small subunit ribosomal RNA
Source: RNAcentral